RNAcentral lists this ribosomal RNA (2682 nucleotides) under Triticum aestivum (bread wheat). Its description in RNAcentral is "partial small subunit ribosomal RNA". The record is from RNAcentral. Lineage: Eukaryota; Viridiplantae; Streptophyta; Magnoliopsida; Poales; Poaceae.
GGAGGUGACGAGAGACCAAGUCGACUAGCUGGUAGGGGUACCGCUGGCGCUCUUAUCGGCGGCCCUGGACAAGGCGGUAGCGGCCUGUAGCGGAGGCCGGACGACGCCAUAGCGGCGAACACAGCUUGAACAGAGUGAGUGUGGUAGUGUCUUCUUUGGUCGGAGAACCGGAACGGAGCCGGGCACGACGGCUCGUACCAGAGUGGCCUCGUGUGGCGGGGCUCAAGAAGGGGGUACUGGUAACGGCACGAGGAGGGAUAAGCUACUCGCGCUCCUCCUGCGCCUGCUACCGUUGAAGGCGAAAUCGCUUCUUCUCAAACCAUCCUCUUUUACGUCCGGACGCUUUGUUCCUUGCCCUCCGAUCUUAUUCCUUCGUCGAAGUCUUAGGACUUAACUGUGGUAGAGGCAUGCUGUGUCGUACCCAACGAUACCACGGGAACGCCCUAAAGGGAUCACGAGGUGUGAAGGGAGCCACGGAACUUACCUAUAACGUUUCGGUUGUCCUAUUACCAAGAACCCCGUAGUCGCUUAAACUGAACAGUGGGCUGUUCAGAUGAGAGAAUAGGUGUAACCGCACACAAUAACGUGAGUUCUUUACCUUACAACCGGGCCUUGUGUAGUCCUCUCCUGACGUAAAAUAACCUUUUUUUAAGAGGAAGAGAUACCUACUCGUCUAACGAUGAGGAUAUCCAAAGUUAUAAUGAAAAGGACCAUACUAAUCCGUUCGGUAACCUUACCCGAACCUUAAAGGUCGCUCUGUUUGACUACAACUACCCUAAGAAGUGCAGGCCGUCUACCUUAACUUUUCUGAACGACCCCUAUUUAGACUACCCUCUCUUCGUAUGUACCGAAUACAACGACUUCCCAAUCCUCAGGGCGACCUGACCUUACUUGAAUAGUUCAAGGUCUCCUUAUUACCUAGUAACAAGUUGAGAGGAAGUCGUUGACGACGACGAAAUUAGGUGUUAAUACUACUGUUUCGGGAGGUCAUGGACUUGAACGAACAAUCAUUUACACCAUCAAGUCAUGGUUGUCACAUGGGCUGUUUACAUAUAACGGUCGAAAGUUACCACCUAAGAGAACUUUUCUAGCCCUAUAGAGUGGUAAAAACAUCACUCUAUUUCUGGUAGAAUUUGUACUGUAUAUCAAACACCCAUGUUUCUCUACUCCUUUAGUACGACCUACAUCGCUGUACGCGUUACCGCAAAGCAGUCAAUGCCUACUUACCUAUACUGCAAAGGAGUCUACUCGAUGCAGUACAACUACUUCGGAGGUGAAAAGUAUUAAGUGAAGUUCCCAUAAAUUUACUAUGUUUUAGAUAUAACCUUAAUAUGUUCCGUAGUUGUCAGUCACAUCUUCUUUUACUUAAAUAAGAACUAUUAUAAUCUGUGACCAGUUCGUUGAAUAAUUCCCUUUUUAAUUAGGUACUGCCGCACGUUUCAUCCGGCCAGAAACGUCUCCACCUCAUACGAGAAUUUAAAGGGAAAAUACGGUGUUACCUUGCGGACCUAGUCUUCACCUUGUAACUUUUGAAACUAAACUCCCCAAGCGUCUACAACUUCUGUCUUGUUAACGGUACAACACAUUUGGUUCUAUAAGAUCGGAACCGAUAACUUCUAAAGUGGAAGAGAGUUAGAUAAAUGGUCCUACUUGAGGUCGAAGAACUUGCAACCCACUUCCUCUGGUCCGAUCUGGUCGAUGACAAACGUGCUGUCUCCUGUUGUAAAACGAUAGAACGACGACGCCGAUGGUACAAGGGAGGACUUGACAGACUACGAGCGUAAAGUACCCGGUUUUUAAGAUAUGAGAAUUUAUAACAACUACUGAAGAAGCUAUAACUCCCCAGUUCUCUUCUUGAUCUUUUGGAACAUUGUGAUGAGCUCUUCACCCUACUCGUGAGGUUUCUGCUUAAGAUGAGACUCGUUCAUUUUUAUAACAAAAUACGGUAAAUGUGAUGUUGCUUGGUAGAACCUUGUUACCGAAGUAAACAUGUUCUGGCACUGCAGUUUUUCGUGGAUUAUCUUUAAACCGAUGUUGAUGACCCCUGAUACUAUUGGCUGCGUCUAACCGCCUACUCUGUUAUACACGGCUGUCAGCUUCUCAUGUACCUUUGACGUUAACAUAGUAAGUGUAACCGAGGGUAAGACGAGGGUCGUAGUAUAAAACAGCCCGUUUGUGAGAACCGUAGACAACACUUACCAGUUCUCAUGUUACUCAAUAAGUCCGAUUACCCGUGAACAACGGCUGAGGAGUUGCUGUAAGUUCCGAAACUCUCCCUCUCGUCGCUCCCUUUUGAGCUAUCACAAAGUGAUGCACAAGAGGUGUCACUGCCAAGAUACAGGUAACUUCGCCGAUUUCUCAGUUAUUCCUCUAGACAUCGGAGCACAUCUUUUCUGAACGACUCCAACCAGGAAUUCCUUCUAUCACAACAAGGAUCCCGUACGUCCCUCGACAAAACCUUGUACACGUUCUAUACGGUGAAGAAGAUGAGAGUGUGACUACGUAAAAGGAGUGGUUGACUCUACCAAUCGUGUCACUUGCGUCAAUAGGUACUCGGUGAGUUUGAGCUCUAAGCACUAGAUAGAAACGGACACGUCAGUCUUUUUAUUUCUAACGAACAUAAAAUGGUACAAACAUACCUAGUUUGUUAACCUACGCGAGAAUUUCUUUUAUUAGUCUAUA